CCCCAGGCGGGGACUUGACAGCCUGCGGGCUUUGUUCAGGACUUCGAGUUAGAGUGACCUGGGACCCUUUGGCAGAGAUGAGGGUGGCGCUCUGGGCGCAUGCCCCAGACACGCCCCAUGGAAAUCGCUCCAGGGAUCCGUCACUGAACUUAGUCUUGAGCACCGCUGGCCAGGUCUGUGCGACAGGUCCCACUUCCCCGCCCGAGUGGGGUCGCUCUGGGCUCCCUCCACGAUCUCCACCUGUGCUUUUGAAUGUUCCAGAGGGUCAGUUUCCUGUGCGGGUAAAUUCUGCGCCCAGCACCUCUCAUCUUCCUCCUCCCUCCCCGCCUCCCGGACACCCCGGGUCGCUCUGUCCCCGCCGCACUCUCAUCGCCCCCGCGCGCCCCGGCGCAGCCUCCCCGCCCUGCGCCGCUGCCCUGGGGCUCUCGGCGCCCCGGAGCCAGGGCCCCGCUGCGUCCUCCUUGCUGCGAGCUGAGUCCUCCGGAGUCCCCCGGGCCAUGAGUCUCUGCGUUGCCCCCCGCCACCCCACGGGCGCUGCUGCGGCGCUGGGGCUCGGUAGCCUCUUGGUGCUGCUCGGGCCGGGACGCGCGUGCCCCGCGGGCUGUGCUUGCACCGACCCCCAUACCGUGGACUGUCGCGAUCGCGGGCUGCCCAGCGUGCCCGAUCCCUUCCCCCUGGACGUGCGCAAGCUGCUAGUGGCCGGCAACCGCAUCCAGCAGAUCCCCGAGGACUUCUUCAUCUUCCAUGGAGAUCUGGUGUAUCUGGAUUUCAGGAACAACUCGCUGCGCUCGCUGGAGGAGGGCACGUUCAGCGGCUCGGGCAAGCUGGCCUUUCUGGACCUGAGCUACAACAACCUCACCCAGCUGGGGGCCGGCGCCUUCCGCUCGGCGGGGAGGCUGGUCAAGCUGAGCCUGGCCAACAACCAUCUGGCCGGUGUACAUGAGGCUGCCUUCGAGAGCCUGGAGUCCUUGCAGGUGCUGGAACUCAACGACAACAACCUGCGCAGCCUCAACGUGGCGGCUUUGGAUGCGCUGCCGGCACUGCGCACUGUGCGCCUGGACGGGAACCCCUGGCUGUGUGACUGUGACUUCGCUCACCUCUUCUCCUGGAUUCAGGAGAACACAUCCAAAUUGCCCAAAGCAGGAGGCAAGAGGAAGAAGCAGGCUUGUAGGAUGGCUUUGUGAGAGAACAGGCUGUAGCUGCCUUCCUCCAAGAUGUGGGAGGAGCUCCUGAGAGCUGGAGCUGGAGCUCUGAGGCCUCGAUGCCAUCCAGUGUUCACUGCCCAUGGAGGACCGGAGGGUGGCCCUGAGGGAGCUAUCCGAAGCUAGUUUCAGCGAGUGUAAGUUCAGCCUGUCUCUCACAGACCUAUUCAUCAUCAUCUUCUCUGGGGUGGCUGUGUCCAUUGCUGCCAUCAUCUCCAGCUUCUUCCUGGCCACUGUGGUGCAGUGUUUCCAGAGGUGCGCCCCUAACAAGGACACGGAAGAUGAGGAUGAUGAUGAAGAUGACUGAGCCACCUCCUCCCGCUCUUUGCUUUCCCACACUCAGCCAGUGGCACCUCUCCAAGGGAGACUGAUGCUGAAGACAGGAGCAUCACAUCACUCCAGGCAGUAAACGGGAUGGAGCUUGCCUAGAUGCACCCGCUGGGGACAGCCGAUCCCAGCGUAUAGAAUCAGCAGAGUAGAGACGCAGGAAGGAUGGAGAGAUUCACUCUUAAGCAGAGCCAGCCUCCCAGGCUGGGGGACUCGUGUGUGAAGAUAAUCAAUUCAGGCUUCAUGGCUUACAGCUUUACAACCCUCCCAAGCUGAAGUGAGAGCUCACAGCUUCUGACCUCAGAGUUGUUUGGGCCGUUCUUAUUACAAGUUGCACAAUGGACCAUGAGCCCUCUUCCCCAUGAAAGACAGUAGUGUUCUCAGUGUAGAUUCGUGUCGAGCUCCUUCUUCACAGGAGCAGGAAUCGUUUUCUUCUAUAGAAGAUCCCAGGAGCCUUGAGAUGUUAGACCAAGAACAAACACAUCUAUUUGCCAUAGACAAUGUCUGUCUCCCCUGUGUUGCUGCAAUGAUAUCUCACACCCAACGUGAUGAACGUGGGUUGAUGCGCGAUGACCUGAGCCCGCAGUCCCGAGCUGGUGGGCUGGGGACCUAGACCUGAGGCGGAGGCUCACAAGGGGACCCAGUCCUUCAGGGUGUUUUGAAGAGGGCCCUUUGGAUAUGAUUCCGUCUUGAGACCGAGUGCAUUUACUGCCCUUAUAAAUCAGACUUUGGGGGCCUCCCUGUCCCUUCUAUCCAGUGAGGACCCAGUGAGAGGGUCUAUGAACCAGGAAGGGGUCUCUCACAGGAACUCAACCAUACUGGUGCCCUAGCCUCUACCUUCUAGCCUCCCAAACCGAGAGGAAUAAAUGUUUGUUAUUUAUAAACCCUCAUGUCUGUGACUGGGGGGGCUGAGGGGGAAUAGAAGCUCAAGGAUGCUAGGACACCAUCUUUAGCUGAAAUGUUACCAAAAAAUAAAAGCUUAGGUUUUGUCAAGA
Molecule: RNA transcript, 2524 nt
Organism: Mus musculus (house mouse)
Lineage: Eukaryota; Metazoa; Chordata; Mammalia; Rodentia; Muridae
Gene: Lrrc38
Gene name: leucine rich repeat containing 38
Exons: 3
Source: RefSeq, marked validated